This is a small nucleolar RNA of Acomys russatus (golden spiny mouse), 145 nucleotides long. RefSeq annotates it as small nucleolar RNA SNORA48. NCBI's taxonomy places the organism in Eukaryota, Metazoa, Chordata, Mammalia, Rodentia, Muridae. The record is from RefSeq and is a predicted model, not a curated record. The transcript has a single exon.
UGCCCCCUGGCAAUGGGCGAAGAGAUGCCCUGUUGGUGGUGGUGUUCUUACAUCAGUCAGGGGCAGAGCAGGUCGUAGUCCUUUGUUCAUCCUAGCUUGAUACCUGGCGUGCUGACCAAAGCUGUUUUAUGCCUAGGACACAUAC